This is a non-coding RNA of Gossypium raimondii (Peruvian cotton), 106 nucleotides long. Lineage: Eukaryota; Viridiplantae; Streptophyta; Magnoliopsida; Malvales; Malvaceae. The record is from Rfam.
AAUUCGUGGUGCUGACAUUUCUGAAUCAGCCUUUUGAAUUGUUCCCAUGCCUCAUGAAAACUUUCUCCUUCCAGCUAUUUAAACACAACAAUCUCUCUUCUUAGUU